GGAUGUGAGGGCGAUCUGGCUGCGACAUCUGUCACCCCAUUGAUCGCCAGGGUUGAUUCGGCUGAUGUGGCUGGCUAGGCGGGUGACCCCUUCCUCCCUCACCGCUCCAUGUGCGUCCCUCCCGAAGCUGCGCGCUCGGUCGAAGACGACGACCAUCCCUGAUAGAGGAGGACCGGUCUUCGGUCAAGGGUAUACGAGUAGCUGCGCUCCCCUGCUAGAACCUCCAAACAAGCUCUCAAGAGAAAAGUGGGAUAUUUGAAACCUGGAGAGACACAAAGGAGACCCACAGGGGAGAAGGCCACAUGAAGGGAAU
Dipodomys ordii (Ord's kangaroo rat) is the source of this 313-nucleotide unclassified non-coding RNA. Its record names the gene 7SK. It matches the Rfam family "7SK RNA". Rfam says of the family: 7SK was discovered as an abundant small nuclear RNA in the mid-70s but a possible function has only recently been suggested. Two independent studies have found that 7SK RNA binds the CDK9/cyclin T complex (known as elongation factor P-TEFb). Lineage: Eukaryota; Metazoa; Chordata; Mammalia; Rodentia; Heteromyidae. The record is from Ensembl.